GAUGAAGAACGCAGUGAAAUGCGAUAAGUAAUGUGAAUUGCAGAAUCUCGUGAAUCAUCGAAUCUUUGAACGCACAUUGCGCCCUAUGGUAUUCCGUAGGGCAUGCCUGUCUGAGCGUCAACUCCCACCCUCUCAAGUCUUCUUUUUUGUUAAGGAGAUUUGGAUUACUUUGAGGAAGUAUCGUUUUUUUUUUUAUAAUGCUACUCCUCAGAAAUUCAUAGGCAGUAUGGUCAAACCUGAACCAGGCGUAAUAAUUCUAUAAAAAUCGUCUAUGAAGGAAUGUCUGUAUUAGCCUUUAACCCCCCCUAAUUUAUUUUACUUGGGUGACCUCAGAUCAGGUAGGGAUACCCGCUGAACUUAAGCAUAUCAUAAGCGGAGGA
This 380-nucleotide unclassified non-coding RNA is filed under the name soil metagenome. RNAcentral's name for it is "partial contains 5.8S ribosomal RNA, internal transcribed spacer 2, and large subunit ribosomal RNA". The stretch from base 1 to 120 matches the Rfam family "5.8S ribosomal RNA", at positions 35 to 154 of the family's 154-position model. The record is from RNAcentral.